GGGCACUGUACCUAUACAGAUACUCCUACGAGCUGUGGCUACACCUGGACAAAGAGGUAUUCUAGUGGUUUACGUCUCUUCCUAUUCAAAAAACUGUUCCU
Molecule: long non-coding RNA, 101 nt
Organism: Etheostoma cragini (Arkansas darter)
Lineage: Eukaryota; Metazoa; Chordata; Actinopteri; Perciformes; Percidae
Exons: 3
Source: RefSeq, a predicted model, not a curated record